This 506-nucleotide ribosomal RNA is filed under the name uncultured bacterium. RNAcentral's name for it is "partial 16S ribosomal RNA". It matches the Rfam family "Bacterial small subunit ribosomal RNA", at positions 30 to 523 of the family's 1533-position model. The record is from RNAcentral.
AUUGAACGCUGGCGGCAGGCCUAACACAUGCAAGUCGAACGGUAACAGGAAACAGCUUGCUGUUUCGCUGACGAGUGGCGGACGGGUGAGUAAUGUCUGGGAAACUGCCUGAUGGAGGGGGAUAACUACUGGAAACGGUAGCUAAUACCGCAUCACGUCGCAAGACCAAAGAGGGGGACCUUCGGGCCUCUUGCCAUCGGAUGUGCCCAGAUGGGAUUAGCUAGUAGGUGGGGUAACGGCUCACCUAGGCGACGAUCCCUAGCUGGUCUGAGAGGAUGACCAGCCACACUGGAACUGAGACACGGUCCAGACUCCUACGGGAGGCAGCAGUGGGGAAUACUGCACAAUGGGCGCAAGCCUGAUGCAGCCAUGCCGCGUGUAUGAAGAAGGCCUUCGGGUUGUAAAGUACUUUCAGCGGGGAGGAAGGGAGUAAAGUUAAUACCUUUGCUCAUUGACGUUACCCGCAGAAGAAGCACCGGCUAACUCCGUGCCAGCCGCCGCAGUAA